Molecule: small RNA, 269 nt
Filed under: Cosavirus A
Lineage: Riboviria; Orthornavirae; Pisuviricota; Pisoniviricetes; Picornavirales; Picornaviridae
Description: partial non-coding RNA
Rfam family: Aphthovirus internal ribosome entry site (IRES) (bases 187-269)
Source: RNAcentral
GUUUAUUUUCUUAUAUUCUCUAUUWCUAGCCAACAGGGCGCUAUCCUGUUGGGCGGAGUGAUACUCCCGUUCCUUCUUGGACAGAUUGCCUCCACGUCCUUUGUGGAUCUCAAGGUGAUCAAGUCACUGGUGGAUAGAGCGAAGGUUGAGGAGACCUGAGAGAUUUCCAUGUGGCUUUGCCAGGAGUUGUAGCGAUGCUGUGUGUGUGUGCGGAUCUCCCCUCAUGGUAACAUGAGCCUCACAGGCCGAAAGCCCUGUCCGAAAGGACA